Molecule: ribosomal RNA, 459 nt
Filed under: uncultured bacterium
Lineage: Bacteria
Description: partial 16S ribosomal RNA
Rfam family: Bacterial small subunit ribosomal RNA
Source: RNAcentral
CCUACGGGAGGCAGCAGUGAGGAAUAUUGGUCAUUGGUCGGGAGACUGAACCAGCCAAGCCGCGUGAGGGAGGAAGGUACAGAGUAUCGUAAACCUCUUUUGUCAGGGAACAAAGGCGGGGACGUGUCCCCGGAUGAGUGUACCUGAAGAAACAGCAUCGGCUAACUCCGUGCCAGCAGCCGCGGUAAUACGGAGGAUGCGAGCGUUAUCCGGAUUUAUGGGGUUUAAAGGGUGCGCAGGCGGUCUGUUAAGUCAGCGGUCAAAGCCCGGGGCCAAACCCCGGCCCGCCGUUGAAACUGGCAGUCUCGAGUUGGAGAGAAGUAUGCGGAAUGCGCGGUGUAGCGGUGAAAUGCAUAGAUAUCGCGCAGAACUCCGAUUGCGAAGGCAGCAUGCCGGCUCCACACUGACGCUGAGGCACGAAAGCGUGGGUAUCGAACAGGAGUAGAUACCCUUGUAGUC